UACCAGCACCCCGAGUGGUCGGGACGAUUAUUGGGCCUAAAGCAUCCGUAGCCGGUCAUGCAAGUCCUCCGUUAAAUCCACCUGCUUAACAGAUUGGCUGCGGAGGAUACUACAAGGCUAGGAGGCGGAAGAGGCAAGCGGUACUCAGUGGGUAGGGGUAAAAUCCUCUGAUCCAUUGAAGACCACCAGUGGCGAAGGCGGCUUGCCAAUACGCGCUCGACGGUGAGGGAUGAAAGCUGGGGGAGCAAACCGG
Molecule: ribosomal RNA, 253 nt
Filed under: uncultured bacterium
Lineage: Bacteria
Description: partial 16S ribosomal RNA
Rfam family: Archaeal small subunit ribosomal RNA
Source: RNAcentral